RNAcentral lists this non-coding RNA (45 nucleotides) under Schistosoma margrebowiei. Lineage: Eukaryota; Metazoa; Platyhelminthes; Trematoda; Strigeidida; Schistosomatidae. The record is from RNAcentral.
AUCCAGCUAAUGAAUCUAAAAUAGGACGAAACGCGUGUCCUAGAU